RNA transcript from Dermochelys coriacea (leatherback sea turtle), 3157 nucleotides. It is a transcript of the gene named LysM domain containing 2, with no coding region annotated. The transcript is spliced from 4 exons. The record is from RefSeq and is a predicted model, not a curated record. Lineage: Eukaryota; Metazoa; Chordata; Testudines; Dermochelyidae.
CUGUGCGCCUGCACCUCAGGUCGGCAGCAGGCGUUUGCGCGUGCGCAGACGGGAGAUGCAAUUCUAUUUGAGGUCGCGCACUGCAUUCCCCCCCCCCCCCCCCGUUGCCCUGACGGCUGUGGUGUCAUCGGCGCUUGGCCGGGCUCAGCCGCCCGUCGCGGGGGUGACUCGAGUCCCUCUGCCGCCUGCCAUGCCCAUUGCUCGGCUCGCUGCUACGGAGGCGGAGCUCGCCCAGCCCUGAGGGGAGCCGCCGGCCCAGGCGAAGGCGCGGGGCAUGGCAGAGUUCCCGCCGGUGCCGCUCUCCCUGCGGGAGGAGCCCCCGGCCGCCCGCUCUGGCUCCGAGUCCGAGUCGGAGGCCGAGCUGUCGCAGAGCCUGGCCCGCACCAAGAUCCGCUCGUAUGGCAGCACGGCCAGCGUAGCGGCCCCCCUGGCGGAGCGCUACCUGGAGCAUCGCCUCAGCGCGGGCGACACGCUGCAGGGCAUCGCGCUCAAGUAUGGAGUUACGAUGGAACAAAUAAAAAGGGCAAAUAAACUAUUUACUAAUGACUGUAUAUUCCUGAGAAAAACACUGAAUAUUCCAGUUAUAUCAGAGAAGUCGUUACUGUUCAAUGGACUUAAUUCACUGGAAUCGCCUGAGAAUGAAAUUGACAUUUCUCUUUGUGGUGAAGGACCAAUGACAGUUCAGGAAGAGAAUAGUUCUUCUUCUCCCAGUCCUCAAGAACCUGACAAUCAACCUGUUGCACCCGAAGAACUAUCUGCCAAAGAUUUUCUACAUAGACUGGACUUGCAGAUUAAGUUGUCAAAACAGGCAGCCAGGAAACUAAAAGAUGAAGAUAUCAGUUUGCAGAGAUGGAAGAAAAGCAACGUUUGUUAUGUUGCUGCAUCUUGAACCAGGGAGUCUAAGAAUGGAUCUGAGGUCUGAGUAAAGAAGACAGCAACAGCAGCAGAGGAUUGGCUCCAAAAUUCCAAAAACUAUCACCUUUCUCCUGUCAGCAUGCCUCUGCUAGCAUGAUAUGCAGGCUAAUGGGACACGGCAUGUGUGCUCCAGUACCAUCAGCCAAAAGAGAAAUGUAGAGACAGCAAUGAUCUCAAGAAGCCUUUGAGGAUAUGUUGUGUGUUCCAAGAGCUGUUAACUCAAGGGCUUUGAUUAGUGUUCCUUUUACAACUGUUGGAUGCCUGGUAAAAGAGGGGUUAAAGUAUCAAAUGAAUUCAUUGUCGUGUGUUGUAAGCAAUGGCUAGCGUUCAUUAUUUGCGGGUGAGAGGCAUUUGUACAGAAAUCUGUACAGAUAUCCUGUACCUGCAGUUUGUGUUGGGCUGAGGGUGGCAGGUGCAAGUUGGGAUACACAGCACUAUAAAAAUGUUGUAAUGCUUUCUUUCCAUUUUCCUUUCCUGAUGGAGGAAAUGAGAAAGUAACUUAUCACUUGUCUUCAUUUUAGUAUAUUUAAAAAUCUGUUUAAUAAAACUUGCCAUUUUGUUUUUAAUGAAAAAAUGUGUGGUCACUAAAAUCUGUGGCAAACUUGUAUAUUAAUAUUGUGAUGUGUGUGCAAGUGUUCAUUUGGGGCACACAUCUCCCUGAAAGGUGUAAUAUAUGCAGCUUGAAUUACCUUCACCCUUUGGUAGAAGGUGUAUAUCUUAAAUCUGUCCUUGUACAGUCAUAACAUGCACUUCUGAAAAUUGUUUUUAAGAUUAAAGAUAAUUUCUGUGAUUUUGAAUGAUAUAACUGGCACAGAGUUUCUCAUUAACUAGUACUAGGGAGAAUGUGGAGCUCAGUCUUGAAAUUCCUUCUCAUGAGGAAUUCCCAUUGUCUUCAAGGAGAGCGCCAUUUAUGGGUGGAUAUAAAGCAGUGGGUCUCAAACUUUUUUUUACUGGCAACCUCUUUCACAUCGCAAGUCUUUGAGUGAGUGCAACCCCCCUAAUAAAUUAAACACCCUUUAAAUAUAUAACACCACUAUAAAUGCUGGAGGUAAGCGGGGUUUGGGGUGGAAGUUGACAGCUUGUGACCCCCCACAUAAUGACCUCGCAACCCCGGAGGGGUCCCAACCCCCAGUUUGAGAACCCCUGAUAUACAGGGGUAAGCCCUCAGUUAGUCAUCAGCAAGUUUUGAGUCUUCUUUGGGCUGACUAAAACAAGCAUUCUAAGCUUCCUGCGCUGUGCUUUUCAUAACUAUAAACAGCUCUGCUUGGAUUCAAGUCUGUAAUGACUGUUACUAAUGCUCUUAACUUGGAAAAUAAAGCUUGUCCUUGAGCUUGGUCAUGAACCAUGCACCAUAUUGGGUGCCAGUAUAUUGUUUGUUAUACCGAUAGCUACUUUGGAGGUCUGAACACACUAAUAUAUACAUAACAGAAGUGCAGAUACUAAAUAAUGGAUGUGGAGAAAAGUUUGUUGGACUAGAAGGGACUGGUGUUUCUUAUUUGAGUAUCCUACCUUUGAACAAAAUGAGAAAAUCUGCUAACAGAAAAUAAGUCGUCUUUCCAUCCUCCACUUACUCCCUCUUAUUUACCCCCUCUAAUCUGACCCAAGCACAUGUGGAACCUGCAAUUGCAGGCAGCUUCCAAUUCCCAGAGGUCUGCAGUUUUCACAAUCUGGUAGAGGUAUUGAGGGCCCUGUUACAUUGUCAGUGGUGGGAAAUGGAGUAAAGCUAUGUGGGCAUGAAAGUUAUGACUCUAGUCAUCCCUAUAUCCCUGUUCAGAGAGAUUCUUGCAGCCAAAAGCCAGACUUACCAUCUUCAGGUGGGAACACCAGGUUUGUUUGUUUUGUUUUUUUUAAUAGGAAGGACCAAAUCAUUAGGAAAGUUGUUCACAAGCUAAGUGAAUAAAAAACAGGAAAAAUCCAGGAAGUCCACAAAGCUCUUUCUAAUGCACAACCUACAACCACAAAAAAAGGAAAAUAUUACUCCCAGCCCAGUACAGUUAGAGUGUAAUAGAGCCUUCAAGACCAUUCAGUGACAUGGUGGCAUCAUCAGUUACAUCUUGUAGUGUAGGAAGCUGUUAUUUCAAUGAUUGUGUAGCCCGGGUAAGAAUUUAAGGAGAGAAUGUGUUUAGUUAAUCCAUGAGAUGAGAACCAAAGAGAUGCACAGUGGCCUUCAUAAAGAUUCCCCUUGAUAUUCAUUACAGCUGAAUCUUGUCUCCAUCAUAAGUCGUCAUUCUCCUGCAGAAUA